UUCCUCUUGGCAGUUGGAUUGUGUCAAUAAUACCUACAUUUAAAGGAAACUUGGAUACCUUAGAAAAGUGAGAUGAAUGCUGUAGUCUGCACUUAGAAGAUGAACAUGGAAUUUUACAUCUCUCCGGGAAAAGAGAGGGAAGAGUGUGAGAGAAGAAAUGUGAUUACUGGCAUUGUUUCACCUGGACUGAAAGCUAGGGUCUGUUCCUGUUAUGGUGCCUGGGCUUGGCCCUAGAACUGGCAAUUAUCUAAGGAAUUAUCUUCCCAGUACAAAGUGAUGCUGAGAAUAGGAGAUGGAGAAAACAAACGGAGGAGAAGCCACAGUGGAGAUUGACACAGAGAAACUGGGGCUGGAGCUCAUGGAAGAAGACAUAUAUUCUGAGGGAACCAGGACUGAAGAGCAAGGUCAUAGCAUUGAAGAUGGGUUGGGGUCUUCCACUCAGCAGAGGAGGAACCUACAACCUUUCACCAGGGCAAGAAGUUUCUGCAAAACACAUGCUGGCUUGCUCAAGAAGAUCCUGCUGGGCCUGUUGUGUUUGGCUUAUGCCGCCUACUUCCUGACAGCUUGCAUCUUGGAUUUCCAGAGGGCACUGGCCUUGUUCAUCCUCACCUGUUUGGUGCUCUUGGUCCUGGUUCACCACUUUCUGAAAAGGUUCUUUGGAAAAAAAAUAACCAAAUGUCUAAAGCCCUUUAAAAACUCCUGUCUGAAGCUUUGGAUGAAAUGGGUGUUUGCAGGGCUCUCCUUGGUUGGCCUUAUCCUGUGGCUGGCUCUAGACACAGCCCAAAGGCCAGAGCAGCUGAUCUCCUUCGCAGGAAUCUGCAUGUUUAUCCUCAUCCUCUUUGCCUGUUCCAAACACCACAGUGCGGUGUCCUGGAGGGCAGUGUUGUGGGGCCUGGGUCUUCAGUUUGUCUUUGGGAUCUUGGUCAUCAGAACUGAUCUUGGAUUUAAUGCAUUUCAAUGGCUGGGAAACCAGAUUCAGAUUUUCCUGAACUAUACUGUGGCUGGCUCCAGUUUUGUAUUUGGGGAUAUGCUGGUCACGAGUGCCUUUGCCUUUCAGGCCUUACCAAUCAUCCUUUUCUUUGGCUGUGUCAUGUCCAUUCUCUACUAUCUGGGCCUCGUGCAGUGGGUGAUUCAGAAGAUUGCCUGGUUUUUGCAGAUCACCUUGGGCACCACUGCCACAGAAACCCUGGCUGUGGCAGGAAACAUCUUUGUGGGUAUGACAGAGGCACCUCUGCUCAUCCGUCCAUACCUUGGAGACAUGACGCUCUCGGAACUCCACGCAGUGAUGACUGGAGGGUUUGCUACUAUUUCAGGCACUGUGUUGGGAGCCUUCAUAUCUUUUGGGAUUGAUGCAUCAUCCCUGAUUUCUGCCUCUGUGAUGGCUGCCCCCUCUGCCCUUGCCUUGUCAAAACUGGUAUAUCCAGAAAUGGAGGAGUCCAAGUUCAAGAAUAAGGAGGGGGUAAAAUUGCCCCGUGGGAAGGAGAAGAACGUCCUGGAAGCUGCCAGCAAUGGAGCCACAGAUGCCAUAGGCCUUGCUGCUAAUGUAGCAGCAAACCUGAUUGCCUUUUUGGCUGUGCUGGCCUUCAUCAACGCUGCCCUCUCCUGGCUAGGGGAAAUGGUAGACAUACAAGGGCUCACUUUCCAGGUCAUCUGCUCCUAUAUCCUAAGGCCCAUGGUUUUCAUGAUGGGUGUAGAGUGGACAGACUGUCCAAUGGUGGCUGAAAUGGUGGGGAUCAAGUUCUUCACAAAUGAGUUUGUGGCCUAUCAGCAACUGUCUCAGUAUAAGAACAAACGUCUCUCUGGAGUGGAAGAGUGGAUUGGGGGUGAGAAACAGUGGAUUUCCGUGAGAGCUGAAGUUAUUACAACAUUUUCACUCUGUGGAUUUGCCAAUCUUACCUCCAUAGGAAUCACAUUGGGAGGCUUGAUGCCUGAUGGGGAAGAGAUCAAGCUAUUCUGUUGUCUGCAGCAUCGAUGGCACCCCACCGGAAGAGUGACUUGUCCAAGGUUGUGGUCAGCGCCCUCCUCACAGGGGCCUGUGUAUCCCUUAUCAGUGCCUGUGUGGCAGGAAUCCUCUAUGUUCCCAGGGGAGCUGAAACUGACUGUGUCUCCUUCCUAAAUACAAGUUUCAGCAAUAGAACCUAUGAGACCUAUGUGUGCUGCAGAGAACUCUUUCAAAGUACUGCUCUGAAUGGCACCAGCCCUCCUUCUUUUUCUGGCCCUUGGGGAGAUAAAGAGUUCAGUGCCAUGGCCCUUGCUAACUGCUGUGCGUUCUAUGCCAAUGCUGUCUGUGCCUAAGGCUGGUCCAUUUCCAUAACAGCCCUGAUCUUUAUGCCUUUUUGAUGGCAAAGGUGCUUAUGUACUCAGAGUUCCCACCCUCCAAGUAACUCACCACGAUCUUUAACAGUAAAUGUAAAAAUUUCAUUGUGCUCACUGUAUGCCCAUAAUGAAAAUUAGAUUUCUCUUUUCAUUAUUUGGCUGGACCAAACAGGAAAUUUCUUAAGGGCUCUCUCUGAAUUUAUAUUUGAAAUAAUAAAUAUUACCAUAUAAAAAAA
Molecule: non-coding RNA, 2552 nt
Organism: Manis javanica (Malayan pangolin)
Lineage: Eukaryota; Metazoa; Chordata; Mammalia; Pholidota; Manidae
Source: RefSeq, a predicted model, not a curated record